CUGUGGCAGCCGAAAAUGUCUCCAGACAUUGCCAAAUCCCUCCUGUGAGGCAAAAUCAUCCCAGUGGAAAACCAGUAGCCUGUAGACAUGGGUGCCCUUGUGAAAGGAUGCCGUUGUUUGGAGAUUGACUGCUGGGAUGGAGCACAAAAUGAACCUGUUGUAUAUCAUGGCUACACACUCACAAGCAAACUUCUGUUUAAAACUGUUAUCCAAGCUAUACAGAAGUAUGCGUUCAUGACAUCUGACUACCCAGUGGUGCUCUCUUUAGAAAAUCACUGCUCCACUGCCCAACAAGAAGUCAUGGCAGACAAUUUGCAGGCUACUUUUGGAGAGUCCUUGCUUUCUGAUAUGCUUGAUGAUUUUCCUGAUACUCUGCCAUCACCAGAGGCACUAAAAUUCAAAAUAUUAGUUAAAAAUAAGAAAAUAGGAACCUUAAAGGAAACCCGUGAAAGAAAAGGUUCUGAUAAGCGUGGAGACAAUCAAGACAAGGAAACAGGGGUAAAAAAGUUACCUGGAGUAAUGCUUUUCAAGAAAAAGAAGACCAGGAAGCUAAAAAUUGCUCUGGCCUUAUCUGAUCUUGUCAUUUAUACUAAAGCUGAGAAGUUCAAAAGCUUUCAACAUUCAAGAUUAUAUCAGCAAUUUAAUGAAAAUAAUUCUAUUGGGGAGACACAAGCCCGAAAACUUUCAAAAUUGCGAGUCCAUGAGUUUAUUUUUCACACCAGGAAGUUCAUUACCAGAAUAUAUCCCAAAGCAACAAGAGCAGACUCUUCUAAUUUUAAUCCCCAAGAAUUUUGGAAUAUAGGUUGUCAAAUGG
This 814-nucleotide small RNA is filed under the name Pongo abelii (Sumatran orangutan). RNAcentral's name for it is "processed transcript". The record is from RNAcentral. Lineage: Eukaryota; Metazoa; Chordata; Mammalia; Primates; Hominidae.